UGUAGUGGGACAAGACAGUGUUACUGAGUGUGGGAGAGGAAUGGCGCCGGCGGCUUAAGGAACAAGAACAGAAACCGCUGGAAAAGCUGAGCAGCCCUGGCUGCAUGUGUCAAGAGACUCCGAGGAAACGUAAUAAGGUGAAAGGGAAUAAUGGACAAAGCACUGAAAACAACGCUGACUCUAAUUCAGCAAAGUAUUUGAAGAUCUGAAGACUGAAGUUUAAAAAUCAACAGAUGAAGGGCCUAUGCC
Molecule: long non-coding RNA, 249 nt
Organism: Hemiscyllium ocellatum (epaulette shark)
Lineage: Eukaryota; Metazoa; Chordata; Chondrichthyes; Orectolobiformes; Hemiscylliidae
Exons: 3
Source: RefSeq, a predicted model, not a curated record